GCGCCGAUAGUUCAGUGGUUAAAUUAUUUCCACAAAGAAUUUUGGCCUUCCAAGCCGAAGACCUGGGUUCAAAUCCCAGUCGGCGCA
Molecule: transfer RNA, 87 nt
Filed under: Candidatus Woesearchaeota archaeon
Lineage: Archaea; Nanobdellati; Candidatus Woesearchaeota
Description: tRNA-Gly
Rfam family: tRNA
About the family: Transfer RNA (tRNA) molecules are approximately 80 nucleotides in length. Their secondary structure includes four short double-helical elements and three loops (D, anti-codon, and T loops). Further hydrogen bonds mediate the characteristic L-shaped molecular structure. tRNAs have two regions of fundamental functional importance: the anti-codon, which is responsible for specific mRNA codon recognition, and the 3' end, to which the tRNAs corresponding amino acid is attached (by aminoacyl-tRNA synthetases). tRNAs cope with the degeneracy of the genetic code in two manners: having more than one tRNA (with a specific anti-codon) for a particular amino acid; and 'wobble' base-pairing, i.e. permitting non-standard base-pairing at the 3rd anti-codon position.
Source: RNAcentral